GUCUUUUAGAGAUUUUUCCACAUUUUCCUGAUGUGAAUGCCAUGCAUUAGAGUCAUCAAGGAUCCAGCUUAUUAUUGGCAAAUUGGACAGUACAGAAAGCGCACAAGUGGAAGAGAGUGGAGGGGACGGCAUCAGAAACGACCUAGAGCUGGG
Sinocyclocheilus rhinocerous is the source of this 153-nucleotide long non-coding RNA. RefSeq lists it as uncharacterized. The transcript is spliced from 3 exons. Lineage: Eukaryota; Metazoa; Chordata; Actinopteri; Cypriniformes; Cyprinidae. The record is from RefSeq and is a predicted model, not a curated record.